GAGAGAGUAGCAUGGUGGUUUGAGUGUUGGACUAAGACUCUAGAGACCAGGGUUCAAAUCCUUGCUCAGCCA
Phrynosoma platyrhinos (Desert horned lizard) is the source of this 72-nucleotide non-coding RNA. Lineage: Eukaryota; Metazoa; Chordata; Lepidosauria; Squamata; Phrynosomatidae. The record is from the annotation of a GenBank genome assembly.